UACGAAGGGGGCGAGCGUUGUUCGGAUUUACUGGGCGUAAAGGGCGCGUAGGCGGCCAGCGCAAGUCAGUUGUGAAAUCUCCGGGCUUAACUCGGAACGGUCAACUGAUACUGCGCGGCUAGAGUGCAGAAGGGGCAACUGGAAUUCUCGGUGUAGCGGUGAAAUGCGUAGAUAUCGAGAGGAACACCUGCGGCGAAGGCGGGUUGCUGGGCUGACACUGACGCUGAUGCGCGAAAGCCAGGGGAGCGAACGGG
This 254-nucleotide ribosomal RNA is filed under the name uncultured bacterium. RNAcentral describes it as "partial 16S ribosomal RNA". It matches the Rfam family "Bacterial small subunit ribosomal RNA", at positions 524 to 776 of the family's 1533-position model. The record is from RNAcentral.